Molecule: ribosomal RNA, 801 nt
Filed under: Neoechinorhynchus schmidti
Lineage: Eukaryota; Metazoa; Acanthocephala; Eoacanthocephala; Neoechinorhynchida; Neoechinorhynchidae
Description: LSU rRNA
Rfam family: Eukaryotic large subunit ribosomal RNA
Source: RNAcentral
AAAGGACUUUGAAAAGAGAGUUAAAUAGGGCGUGAAACUGCACACUGAAAAGCGAAUGAGUACACAUGGGUUCUUGUUGCUAAUCAAGUGCGUAUGGCAGGCCGGCAUGUGGGCGAUAAUGCAUCUCAAGUCGGUCGUCGUACGUACUGCAUUUGGUAGCUUGACGUUCUGCUUGGUUUCGUAACAGCUACAGCCACAGUGAAGUACACCUUUCCCUUGUGGAAAUGGAUGUGUCACUCGUAGCCUUAUUAUGUUAACAAUAGAGAAAUUCUGUUCGUGGACAGCUGCGGUUGCUAUACGCAACCGUAGUCGUUAGCUGAAACGGAGCUUGAGAUACUCUGGUUCACAGAGCCUCAAGAUGGCUGGCUCACAGGACGCGCUUUUGCGUGGUCUGUGGUUUGGUUGCAUCGGUCAUGUGAAUGCUGAAAGCAGGUUGUGUUGUGGCAUCAUUCGAACCGUCUUGAAACACGGGCUAAGGAGUUCAACAGAUGCGCAAGUUUACUGGUUUUCGAAACCAGAUGGCUAAGUUAACGCGACUUUGUGUAUAAUGGAGAGAACUCGUCCACUUUCGAGUUGGACGGGGUCACCUCCUGUGAUGGAUGGCAUAUUGAGUACCGGUUGCUGUUCGCAGUCGAGCGCAUAUGCUGAGACCCGAAAGAUGGUGAACUAUGCCUGGGUAGGAUGAAGCCGGAGGAAACUCUGGUGGAGGUCCGAAGCGUUUUUGACGUGCAAAUCAAUCGUCAGACUUGGGUAUAGGGGCGAAAGACUAAUCGAACCAUCUAGUAGCUGGUUCCCUUCGAA